RNAcentral lists this transfer RNA (73 nucleotides) under Candidatus Woesearchaeota archaeon. RNAcentral's name for it is "tRNA-Val". It matches the Rfam family "tRNA". Rfam says of the family: Transfer RNA (tRNA) molecules are approximately 80 nucleotides in length. Their secondary structure includes four short double-helical elements and three loops (D, anti-codon, and T loops). RNAcentral also lists the same sequence under 1 other name. The record is from RNAcentral. Lineage: Archaea; Nanobdellati; Candidatus Woesearchaeota.
GGACCCGUGGUCUAGCGGUUAGGAUGUCUCCUUCACAGGGAGAAGGUCCCCGGUUCGAAUCCGGGCGGGUCCA